UAGGUCUUGGUUCAGUUUUCAACUCAUUUGUUUGGGAAUCUUAGCCCUUGGUUCUGUGACCACAUUCCACGCUGGGAACUGUUGGCAGUUUAAUUUGCAGUUUCCCAUUCCUUUGAAAUCAGUUUGCAAUGCCCAUCUUUGAGGUCUUUUAUUUCAAUUCUCUCCCCAACCCCAGCUCCACGUUGGGAAUGGCUGGCCGUGUGCACAGGGCCUUCUGCUGGCCCGUCUGCGGUAACGUUUCUUUGGUUACUGCUUGGUAUAUUAAGGGGCACACAUUUGUUUUGUUUUAUAUGAAAGACUAUUGCUUAUAAAGAUCUUGGAAACAGAA
Molecule: long non-coding RNA, 328 nt
Filed under: Bos taurus (domestic cattle)
Lineage: Eukaryota; Metazoa; Chordata; Mammalia; Artiodactyla; Bovidae
Description: long non-coding RNA NONBTAT010728
Source: RNAcentral